RNAcentral lists this non-coding RNA (28 nucleotides) under Homo sapiens (human). Lineage: Eukaryota; Metazoa; Chordata; Mammalia; Primates; Hominidae. The record is from RNAcentral.
UCACACUGGAGAGAAGCCCUUUGAAUGC